GAAAUUCAAGGUGUUGUUUUCAUGCCUUGCCCUGCUGGUCAUAUCAUCCACUCAACCUCUUUGAUAUCACAGAACAAGAGCUCUGUGAGUAAGUAUUCAUUGGAGCUGUCGGAAGGCGGAAAAAAUUCAAGGAAGAGAUCACAAUCGAUACUACAAGGGGAACGGAGACUCUCCACGUACCGAGGACAUCGUCUAAUGAAUCAGCCGGCGAUAUAAUUUACGAUUUCAAAAGGGUGAGAGUUGCCAAAUCGGGCGUAGAAUCAGACGCUGGAUUUGUAACCGGGUAUGUAGGUGGGUAACCCGACGGAUUUGCAGACGUGUGUUUAGGAACCGCCGUUGGCGUCGUGUAUGCCAUAAUGUCCGAUGGCCGAUCUGUCGCAGAGUUUGUAGAUGGGUUACAUGGAGAGGAUAAACUCUUCUGUCUCGAACUGAGUUUCCCAGUGUCUUAACUUUUUUUAUAAUGAGAGCUUAAUCCAGUGGCGCUUUCCUUUGAGCUAAAAUUCAGUUCCAUUUUGAAAUCCCAUGAGGUUGAAAAGAUAAUAAUGUGCAUUUGGCUUAAUAAUAUACACGGAUCUUUCUGCCAGAGAGCGUUCCAAACACCUGGCAUUUCGAGAGCUACGCCAAAGUAAGCUGAAUAAGAACUUUGAAUAGGAUAGGAGGACCAAUGUCCAAAUCGCACCGUAUGAAGCUCUGCAGCAAAAGGAUACGUGCCUAUUAAUAUUGAAAGGCAAAAUGGACAUAAUCAUUUCAUUAUCAUUAUUAUAUUUAUGAAAAUUAACAAAUUCAACUUCAGUCAAGAUGUAAAAACUUCAAAUACCAUUAAGGGCCCUUUCCAUUUUCAACCAACUGAAUUGCAAACACAGCAUGUUCCCCAGUAAAAAUGAACCUUUGUACCUUAACUUCCUAAUUGUUUGUAAUGACAUUCCAAUUCCAUUGCCCUAAUACAUUAUAUACUUCUCUGAUACCACAACUUCUACCUCAACAUAAAUCAAGUAUCCAUGCUUUAAAUACUUCCCAAUUACCGUUUCAUCUUGCAAAAUAAGCAGAGCAAAUUUCUUAUCGCGAAUUUUGUCACGAUUAAAACAAACCUGCGUGUUUUUGUGAGCCACAAUUCAGUCGGAUUUCACUGAACAAUACACUGAAUGUUAAAAUUACCAACUUCAAGUAAGUGUAAAACUCGACCAGCCGAACUAUUUCAGUAUGUGGAAUUUUGCAGAUUUUGAACUUUGAUGAUUUGUGAAUUUUGAAGUCUUGACAUUUUGACAGCCUUUAAUCAGUCUUGGUCAGCGAAUCACAUUAUUUGAAUCAUUCUAACAAGGAUUCUGAUUUGCAUAUAGUAGCCUGUUUUAUAAGAGUAUAGAGCAUGCCGACUACACUUUUGUUCUCUUUGGAAAUAAUUUUUUUCCGUCACCUUUGAUCAUCACCAUUUUUACCUGCCUAGACCCCAUACCUCUGUUGGACAUAAGUAAGCCUCCAAGUUGACUCAAUCACCACACCAUUUAUCUGAUUAUUAUCGCCAAACUAGUUUCCUUAACUCUUUCUUUUGUGCUCCUGUGACCCCCUAUGAAGUUCAACUCGAAAUUCUGUCUAUUCCGAACAACAAAGCACAUGAACUGUACUCGUGUCCAACUCGUAUUCUAAAAUCCGCUAGUAGUAUUCUUUUUUUUUCUUUAAGCAAAUAUAUUUAAUACUUCAAUUGAGCUUGGGAGUGAUCCUACCAAACUUAAAUAUGCAAAGGUAAUUCCAAUAUACGAAGAUGGUGACGAGAGAGACCCUAAUAAUUACCAACCCAUCUCACUUCUCUCAGACUUUAAUAGAAUCUUUGAAAGAUUGAUGUAUGUACCUCUCAAAUCUUACUUAAGUAAGGCAGAUAUUCUUGUUCCAUCUCAAUAUGGCUUUAGAGAGAAACACUCCACCCGGCAUGCGACGCUAGACAUUAUCAACACUAUUCAAAACAACAUGGACAAUAAGUUGUAUACCUGUGGCAUCUUUAUAGACUUAAAGAAGGCAAUGGACACAGUGAAUCAUGAAAUUCUUCUGCAGAAAUUAUAUCAUUACGGAAUAAGAGGAAUAGUUAACAACUGGUUCUCUUCUAAUCUUAAAUUGCGUUCGCAGACAACUAACAUUGGCCCCUAUAUUUCUGAAAAGGCUCUGAUUGAUGGCGGCGUUACCCAAGGCUCUUUUCUGGGGCCUUUACUGUUUUUGAUGUAUAUAAAUGAUAUUACAAAUUGUUCAGAUAAGUUCAAGUUUUAUUUAUUUGCCGAUGACACCAGUAUUUUAUAUGGUAGAAAACCUUAAAUCCCUAGAAUUAGAAGUAAACGUUGAGUUAACCAAGCCUUGUGGAUGGCUGACAGCAAACAAUUGAACUCUAAAUGCUAAAAAAAUCUAAUUAUGCGAUAUUUCGAAGUUAUAGAAAGAAGCUAUCUUUCCAACCGACGAUAAAUAUUUUUGACAUCGAUAAAAUGUCAUAUU
RNAcentral lists this long non-coding RNA (2472 nucleotides) under Stylophora pistillata. Its description in RNAcentral is "uncharacterized LOC111342910". The record is from RNAcentral. Lineage: Eukaryota; Metazoa; Cnidaria; Anthozoa; Scleractinia; Pocilloporidae.